RNAcentral lists this unclassified non-coding RNA (400 nucleotides) under soil metagenome. RNAcentral's name for it is "partial contains 5.8S ribosomal RNA, internal transcribed spacer 2, and large subunit ribosomal RNA". The stretch from base 1 to 122 matches the Rfam family "5.8S ribosomal RNA", at positions 35 to 154 of the family's 154-position model. The record is from RNAcentral.
GAUGAAGAACGUAGCGAAAUGCGAUACUUGGUGUGAAUUGCAGAAUCCCGUGAACCAUCGAGUCUUUGAACGCAAGUUGGGCCUCAAGCCAUUAGGUUGAGGGCACGUCUGCCUGGGCGUCACAUAUCGUUGCCUGAUGCCAGUUUCCUCGUGAUGGGUGACUGUGCAGGGCGAAUGAUGGCUUCCCGUGAGCAUUGUUGCCUCAUGGUUGGUUGAAAAUUGAGUCCUUGGUAGGGAGCGCCGUGAUAGAUGGUGGUUGAGUGACGAACGAGACCCAAUCAUGUGAGACCCCUACCGAAUUUGGCCUUCAUGACCCACAUGCGUCUUUGGAACGCUCAUGACGAGACCUCAGGUCAGGCGGGGCUACCCGCUGAGUUUAAGCAUAUCAAUAAGCGGAGGA